CCAGACUCCUACGGGAGGCAGCAGUGGGGAAUAUUGCACAAUGGGGGAAACCCUGAUGCAGCGACGCCGCGUGAAGGAUGAAGUAUUUCGGUAUGUAGACUUCUAUCAGCAGGGAAGAAAAUGACGGUACCUGACUAAGAAGCCCCGGCUAACUACGUGCCAGCAGCCGCGGUAAUACGUAGGGGGCAAGCGUUAUCCGGAUUUACUGGGUGUAAAGGGAGCGUAGACGGCAUGGCAAGUCUGAUGUGAAAACCCGGGGCUCAACCCCGGGACUGCAUUGGAAACUGUCAGGCUGGAGUGUCGGAGAGGCAAGUGGAAUUCCUAGUGUAGCGGUGAAAUGCGUAGAUAUUAGGAGGAACACCAGUGGCGAAGGCGGCUUGCUGGACGAUGACUGACGUUGAGGCUCGAAAGCGUGGGGAGCAAACAGGAUUAGAUCCCCGCGUA
This 444-nucleotide ribosomal RNA is filed under the name uncultured bacterium. RNAcentral describes it as "bacterial SSU rRNA". It matches the Rfam family "Bacterial small subunit ribosomal RNA", at positions 331 to 792 of the family's 1533-position model. The record is from RNAcentral.